ACUCCUACGGGAGGCAGCAGUGGGGAAUAUUGCACAAUGGGGGAAACCCUGAUGCAGCCAUGCCGCGUGUGUGAAGAAGGCCUUCGGUUGUUAAAGCACUUUCAGUAGGAGGAAGGUAGUGUAGUUAACACCUGCACUAUUUGACGUUACCUACAGAAGAAGCACCGGCUAACUCCGUGCCAGCAGCCGCGGUAAUACGGAGGGUGCGAGCGUUAAUCGGAAUUACUGGGCGUAAAGCGCAUGCAGGCGGUCUGUUAAGUCAGAUGUGAAAGCCCGGGGCUUAACCUCGGAAUUGCAUUUGAAACUGGCAGGCUAGAGUCUUGUAGAGGGGGGUAGAAUUUCAGGUGUAGCGGUGAAAUGCGUAGAGAUCUGAAGGAAUACCAGUGGCGAAGGCGGCCCCCUGGACAAAGACUGACGCUCAGGAUGCGAAAGCGUGGGGAGCAAACAGGAUUAGAUACCCUGGUAGGAUAGCG
RNAcentral lists this ribosomal RNA (473 nucleotides) under uncultured bacterium. RNAcentral's name for it is "bacterial SSU rRNA". It matches the Rfam family "Bacterial small subunit ribosomal RNA", at positions 335 to 799 of the family's 1533-position model. The record is from RNAcentral.